Molecule: unclassified non-coding RNA, 155 nt
Filed under: Limosilactobacillus panis
Lineage: Bacteria; Bacillati; Bacillota; Bacilli; Lactobacillales; Lactobacillaceae
Description: Lactobacillus panis 16S-23S ribosomal RNA small intergenic spacer
Rfam family: Bacterial small subunit ribosomal RNA
Source: RNAcentral
UCUUGUACACACCGCCCGUCACACCAUGGAAGUUUGUAACGCCCAAAGUCGGUGGCCUAACCAUUUGGAGGGAGCCGCCUAAGGCGGGACAGAUGACUGGGGUGAAGUCGUAACAAGGUAGCCGUAGGAGAACCUGCGGCUGGAUCACCUCCUUU